This 26-nucleotide non-coding RNA is filed under the name Cricetulus griseus (Chinese hamster). The record is from RNAcentral. Lineage: Eukaryota; Metazoa; Chordata; Mammalia; Rodentia; Cricetidae.
AGCCUAAUUAAAGUCAACCUCUUCUG